UUCACCUGCACUGAUAAUGCCCUCAAAACCUGCCUAUUAUGACCGUGAUAGCGCCCUUGUCUCCAUCAAUACCCACUGUUCAUCUCAACUACUUAAAAGGGGACAAUCUGCUUUCCGUUCACUACUGCAGAAGUGGCAAUUAAACACAGGAUCUGUUACAACAAAGGCAAGGCUGCACUUCACAAUAAAGGAGGAGAAGAAGACAUUUUGCAGCUAUUACUGGCUGGUAACUUGUGAAACACAUAUGUGACAAGUAAGGCUUCUGUAUCUCCUUCCUGAUGAUAGCAAUGAGAAGAGGGCACGUCCUGGGUGGUGGAAGUCCUUGACGAUGGGUGCCACCUUUCUGAGGCACAGUUCCUUGAAGAUGUUCUGGAUACUACAGAGGCUAAUGCCCAGGUUGGAGCUAACUAAUUGUACAACUGUCUGUAGCUUACUCUAAUUCUGUGCACUAACCCCCACCACCCAUACCAGACAGAGAUGCAGCUGGUUAGAAUGCUCUCUACGGUACAUCUGUAGAAAUUUGUGAGUGUUUUUGGUGACGUAUCAAAUCUCCUCUAACUUCUAAUAAAAUAUAGCUGCUGUCUUGCCCUCUUUAAGGCUGCAUCGAUAUGUUGGAUUCAGGUUAGGUCCUCAGAGGUACUGACACCCGGGAACUUGAAAAUGUUCACUCUGUCCACAUAGAAACAUAGAAAACCUACAGCACAAUACAGGCCCUACAUCCCACAAAGUUGUGCAGAUUGUGUCCCAAUCUCAGAAAUUACAAGACUUACCCAUAGCCCUCUAUUUUACUAAGCUCCGUGUACCUAUCUAAAAGCCUCUUAAAAGACCCUAUCGUAUCCGCCUCCACCACCAUUUCUGGCAGCCCAUUCCACGCACUCACCUCUCUGGGUAAAAAACUUAACCCUGACAUCUCCUCUGUACCUAUUCCCCAGCACCUUAAACCUGUGUCUUCUUAUGGCAACCAUUUCAGCCCUGGGACAAAGCCUCUGACUAUCCACAUGAUCAAUGCCCCUCAUCAUCUUGUACACCUCUAUCAGGUCACCUCUCAAAUCUUCUGAUCUCUGUAUGAGGACUGGUGUGUGAUCCUUCAUCUUACCCUUUCUGAAAUCCACAACCAGUUCCUUGGUCUUACUGAUAUUGAGUGCAAGGUUAUUGCUACGGCACCACUCAACUCGCUGGUAUAUCUCACUCCUGUAUGCCCUCUUAUCACCAUCUGAGAUUCUGUCAAAUCUGGUUGUAUCAUCAAUAAUUUUAUGGGUGAUACUUGAGCUGUGGCUUACUACACAGUCAUGGGUAUAGCGAGAGUAGAGCAGUGGGCUAAGCACACAUCUCUGAGGUGUAACAAUAUUGAUUGUCAGUGAGAUGAAGUUAUUUGCAAUCCACACAGAUUGUGGUCUUCUAGUUAGCACAUUGAGGAUGCAGUUGCAAAGGGAGCUACAGAGGCCCAGGUUCUGGGGUUUUUGAUCAGAAUUGUAGGGAUAAUGGUGUUAACAGCUGAGCAGUAGUCAGUAAGUAGCAUCCUGACAUAGGCAUUUGUAUUUGACAGGUAUUUGUAUACAUAUUUGGAUUUGACAAUCCAAUGAAGUGAAUGAAAGUUCAGGACAAGUCCCAGGUUUAACCUAACUAAAGACUACCAACAAAAAAAUAUUAAAUUAUUAAUAGAUCUAUUAGUAGUAGUGAAGUAAUUACCUACAUUCAUUUAAAACUAGUACUAGUUUUAAAUAUUAUUAAACAAUGGCAAAAAAAAUUACAUGAUGUGAGAGGCCAUAAGACAUAGGAGCAGAAUUAGGCCAUUUGGCCCAAUGAGUUUGCUCUGAGAACAACUAGUUAAUUCAUUAGAGUUCAAAGUAAAUUUACAUAGCCUUCAUGUACUUUGGUCAGAAAGACUUUUUAAACCAUAUUUGAAGUAUUUUAUUCACCUUCCUAGAAAUGUUUUGCCAUUAUGGAGGUCAGAGUAGGUUACUUGCUUCAGGAGUUUGUGUCAUGCAUGUAGUUGAUAUGAGAAAGAGACUGCUGCAGGAGCAUUUCUAGGAACAAAAAGUGUAGUCAAUGUUUUGGGUCAAGACCCUAUAACAAGCCUAAGUAUGUAAAGGGGAGAUAGCCAUUAUAAAAACGGCAAGGGGGAAGAGUGAGGUAGUGUGACAUACCAAAACAAGUUGAGCAUUACCAGAGCCUUGAUGUUGAGAUUGUUGGCUUGCUGAAAUUUGUAUGUAAUUGUGCUGCAGUCAGAAGAUGGUGACGUUGAAUUGCUUGACCUACAUGGAUUUUCAAAAGAUCCAUACUAGAUUCACUGGCAGCUGUUCAGCUGUGCUUUUAGGUGCCCAUAAUUAGUUGACCACUUCUCCAAUACAUAAGAAUGGAUGGGAUGGGAAUCAUUGGUGUUCAAAAGAUUGUGCAACUAAGGCUGAAAUUGAGCUCUUCCAACAAUUUCACACUGUGGUCAAGGGCUGUGCUGGCAUAUUGGAUGUAAUGAUGUAUUUAAUUGUUCAUAUUUGUCCUCUUUGAGAAGUGGCUCCUGUGAUACAGAAAGUAACUGACCAGAACUUAAGUCUUAUCAUGGGUCCUGGAAUUUUUUUAACGAUAGUGUUGUGUGCUGACGACAAGAUUAUGAUGGAUGUUUGUCUCUCAGAUGCUUAAUGUGAGGCCUAUCACUGACAUGUUUUAUUGAAGGAUCUUGCCCUCUGCACAUAUAUGCAAGCAUUGUAUGUAUUGAAAGUUAACAACAGGUUGGAUUGACCUUCAUUGUGAAGAAGAGGCACUAUGAUUUCCUGCUCCACUUCAAAAGGAAUACACAUACAAAAUGCUUAAGCUCCUGUUCAAUGCUUUCUGGAAGAUUGUGAAUGGAAAAGGCGGGGUUAGUAUUUAAAUCCAAAUUUCGCACUAUUUGUUAGUAUUGAGAAGACUUGAGCACAAAAUUAUGAACAUUCUUCUCUGGAGGUGAAUAAACAGUUAACGUUUUGGGCCUGUGUGUGUUGUUCAAGAUGCCCAACAUCUGCAGAAUCUAUUGUGUUUAUGAGCGUUCUUCUACACUUGUUGCACAUUGAUGUGCUAUAUGGACAACCAAUUUCUAACAAUACUGGACAAUGUUAUUGGAAGCGUACUUAACUUGGCCAGUUGGCCAUAAACUUUCAAUUCAUUCGUGUUACACUAAUACAGAGGUUCCCAACCUGGGGUCCAUGGAUCCCUUGCUUAAUGGAAUUUGCACAAGGCAUAAAAAAAGGUUAGGAACCCCUGCUCUGAUAUAUUUUGCUUACCUUACAAAUCCCAAAACUUGGCUGUUAAAGGCACUGUCAUCGUGUUUUUAAAAACUUAAUUUUAGAUUUUAAAAUAUAGUCAUUUCCAGUGUGAGGAUCUCACUAAUCCUUGCUAUAUUUCACUUAAUUCUUGAGAGGUAAUGCUGCAGAUUAUAUUCUGUAACUAAUUGGUAAGAGAAGUUAGGAAUUUAUUUAUUUUGCAGAACAAUUUAUUCAGAAGAAUAUUUUAGCUUGUGCUGGCGAAAGCUCUUAAUUAACUUUCAUAUUAAUGAUGUUCCUGCUGUUCCACUCAACUGAAUUCUGUGAUUGAUAUUGUGCAUGCAUUUGUUAAAGAAUUUUUAUAUUUAGAUGCAGUAUUUUUCAUUCAGUAGAAGUGAGUGAAACAUAAAUUUGCAGUUAAAUUCUGCAUUUAUGUUAUAUUUGACAAUAAAGUAUGAAAAUAUUCCUAUUUAGAUUGAUAAGGUCAAUAAAACCAUGCAUGUGUCAUUGAACAAGGAAGCCCAACUAGACUGUAAUGAACUGGAAUAUUUUCUUCUGCACCUGAAUCUAACUUUCAUUUCUCAUCAAUUUUUUUGCAAUAUAGUUGUGAGAGGAAGAAAAUAACUAACAUUUCCAGUUUCUCAAAACUACCAUAUCUGUGCAGAUUAUUUGGAGAUAAUCUAUUUUUAAGUUCUGAAACAGACUGCUUGGCAGAAAGACGAGUGAAUUCCUCUAGUCUGUUUCCACACCAUGGUAAGUUCAGAUAAAAUGAAAUUGGAGGAACAUCAUAAACUUACGUGUCCAAGCAAUGUUUCUGCUGGAAAUGAUGGAUUAUGAAAGUACAAUAUGUUUAAACAACCUAUUUCAUGUAACCAGUUGUAUUCUGAAUGAAUCUUCUUUGUAUAAUGAUUUGUGAAAAUAUUGUGUUUCUGUUUGAUCUUUAUAAGUUUUAUAACCACAGUGGUUUGAAAGAAAUUUGAGCUUAGAAAAGUAAUUGUACAUUCCUUGGGGGCACACAAUGGUAAGGGAUUUGGAAGAUGACUGAAAAUAACUCUAUGGUGACUUAUCUCCAUAACUGACCUGUUCUGUUCACAUGAAUACUGGAUACAGGAUUCUUUAUUAGAGGCAUACAUGGGAAAUAAUUUAAGAUGCACUAUGUAUACUCACUUUCUUUUCAAAGAAGACUACCACCUGACAUCACACAAAUCUGAUAAUUCAAGUAUUAUUUAAUCGAAGUAGAAACAGAACGAAAGUAUAAAUCUGUAAGUAAUAGCUAUCAAGGUAACACAUGGAAGUUAUUUUUGAUAAUCAGUGUGUCAAUAGAAGCUGUGUUUAGUGAUCAAUAAAGCAAAUGUUAGCGAUAUGCUUACUCGUUCUGUGGCAGCAUCUUACACUCGAUGGCCACUUUAUCAGGCACACUUGCUCUUUAAUGCAAAUAUCUAAUCAGCCAAUCAAGUGGCAACAACUCAAUGCAUAAAUCAUGCAGACAUGGUCAAGAGGUUCAGCUGUUCAGACCAAACAUCAGGAUGGGGAAAAAAUAUGAUCUAAGAAAUUUUGCCUGUGGAAUGAUUGUUGGUGCUGGAUGGGGUGGUUUGUAUAUCUCAGAAACUAGUGAUCUCUUGGGAUUUUCACCUGUAAGGGUUUCGAGAGUUUAUAGAGGAUGGUGCUGUGGUGAACUACAUAUACCAGUCUGGACACGCCCCCUGCUGACUGCUCCUGUGGCUCCUCCCACAG
This is a long non-coding RNA of Hypanus sabinus (Atlantic stingray), 4967 nucleotides long. RefSeq lists it as uncharacterized. The record is from RefSeq and is a predicted model, not a curated record. NCBI's taxonomy places the organism in Eukaryota, Metazoa, Chordata, Chondrichthyes, Myliobatiformes, Dasyatidae. The transcript is spliced from 3 exons.